This 264-nucleotide unclassified non-coding RNA is filed under the name Hevea brasiliensis (rubber tree). The record is from RNAcentral. Lineage: Eukaryota; Viridiplantae; Streptophyta; Magnoliopsida; Malpighiales; Euphorbiaceae.
GUGCCAUUGAUAUGUAUCUUAAGGUAAGUUCCUGAACAUUCUCUAUCAUGCUGGCCUUUAAGUGCACUUAAUAAAUAUGAUUUUUAUUGUACUAUUUGUUUGCAUCAAGAAGUGCACAUUCAAGCAUAUAUAGAAGAAGAGCAUCAAAUAUCUUUACCCUUGAUCCUUGGCUUUGCUUGCAAGUUACAAUAACAAGCAACCAAUUAUCAUUUUGUCUAAUUUUUUUUUUCCUUUUCUUGCUUGUUUGAGUUAUUCUGACAAGCA